CAUCACUUAAGUGGGCAUUGUAUCAUCUCAGCACAAGAAGAGGGGUGAAUACACUAUUUUGAGAGACCGCAUUAACAUAACUUGUAUUACAGUAUAUUGUUCUAAUUGUCCGAUUUUAUUAUUAUUGAAUGAUAAUCUCUUACUAUGCCCAAUUUAUAAAUUAAACUUUAUCAUAGGAAAAUGGAUGAAACUGCAGAACUUCAUAUUGAGUGAAAGAAGUCAGGCUCAGAAAGGCACUACUAAUAAAAGGAAAAAAACCCCAUAAGAAUAUAGCCUCCAAAAAAAUCCCUGGAUAAUCAGUAUGAUAUCUACUUAGCAAACGUCUCAAAGUACACUAUUGAAGGAUCUAAAGCACAGAUGAAAUCAUUUCCUAAUAAUACACAGACCAUGAGUAGAAGAGCAAAAAGUCAGACCUAUGGGCAUUGGCGCUUGCACUUCACUUCUUUUCUACUGUACUACACUGAAAGUUUGAAAAGGAAGUAAUCUUCUCAACAAACUCUGGAAAGUAUAGAUUAUAGAUUAAAGUUUUAGCUUUUGGCUAUGCUAUGACCUUCAUAAGAUCAGGCCAUCAACAUUUUUUGAAUUAAUUACUAUCGUUUCAAGGCAUUGCAG
Heterocephalus glaber (naked mole-rat) is the source of this 612-nucleotide long non-coding RNA. The record is from Ensembl. Lineage: Eukaryota; Metazoa; Chordata; Mammalia; Rodentia; Bathyergidae.